This 686-nucleotide ribosomal RNA is filed under the name uncultured bacterium. RNAcentral's name for it is "bacterial SSU rRNA". It matches the Rfam family "Bacterial small subunit ribosomal RNA", at positions 32 to 715 of the family's 1533-position model. The record is from RNAcentral.
AACGCUAGCUACAGGCUUAACACAUGCAAGUCGAGGGGCAUCAGGGUAGCAAUACCGCUGGCGACCGGCGCACGGGUGAGUAACACGUAUCCAACCUACCGUUAACUCGGGGAUAGCCUUUCGAAAGAAAGAUUAAUACCCGAUAGUAUAUUUUCUUCGCAUGUUGAAAAUAUUAAAGAAUUUCGGUUAUCGAUGGGGAUGCGUUCCAUUAGGCAGUUGGCGGGGUAACGGCCCACCAAACCUACGAUGGAUAGGGGUUCUGAGAGGAAGGUCCCCCACAUUGGAACUGAGACACGGUCCAAACUCCUACGGGAGGCAGCAGUGAGGAAUAUUGGUCAAUGGACGAGAGUCUGAACCAGCCAAGUAGCGUGAAGGAUGACUGCCCUAUGGGUUGUAAACUUCUUUUAUAUGGGAAUAAAGUUCUCCACGUGUGGAGUCUUGUAUGUACCAUUAUGAAUAAGGACCGGCUAAUUCCGUGCCAGCAGCCGCGGUAAUACGGAAGGUCCGGGCGUUAUCCGGAUUUAUUGGGUUUAAAGGGAGCGUAGGCCGGAGAUUAAGCGUGUUGUGAAAUGUAGACGCUCAACGUCUGCACUGCAGCGCGAACUGGUUUCCUUGAGUACGCACAAAGUGGGCGGAAUUCGUGGUGUAGCGGUGAAAUGCUUAGAUAUCACGAAGAACUCCGAUUG